CUCUGAGGCGCCAUUUCUGCAGCGCUGCAAGAGAGGAGAAAAGGUAUUGGUGGAAACGCAUACAUGAGAGGUUCCAUGGGAGCAUGAAGGCAUCUCCUCGAGAGUGUUUCCCUAGGCUUGCUCUGGAGCAGAAUGUCGGACGUUUUUUGUUUAUUGCCAUGGCAAAUAGAUCCAGUUGGGGAUAACCCCAGGUCUGAAAAAUGCUGGAUAGAAUGGUGUCGAGUUCCCACUCGUGCUGUAUGGGGAAGGAUUGACUAAGCUCAUCUACGGUGGUGUUCUGAGAAGCGGGGUGGUAUGAGGUGAAGAUAUGGAUAUUGUAUUGAAAGCACCAGUUCCAUAGUUUUACCGCCUCUGUACAGAGGGAGUGGGACCGGGCUUAGGCUCCCCCAUGUCUGUUCACAUAAAACAUACAUGCGAUAUUGUCUGUCAUGAUCCAAAUUCUGCGGUUUUGGAUAAUGGGAAGGAAAUAGAGGCGGGCAUCGCAUACGGCUCUGAGCUCUAGUAGAUUUAUGUGAAGCUUAGUUUCUGUAGAGGACCAGAGGCCCUGAGUGGUGAGGUGGUCCAUUUGCACACCCCAUCCUGUGAGGGAUGCAUCUGUAGUGAUGGUAAUUGAAGGGGAUUCUUGUCAGAAGGGACCCCGGCACAGAGGUUGAUAGGAGAGUUCCACCAUAGGAGCAAGUCCUUGACUUUCGGGGGCACAGAUAGCAAUUUGUUUAAUCUGUGGAUAUUUGCUUUGUAUCCUGGGGCUAGCCACCUGUGAAGGCAUCGCAUGUACAGAUGGACUUUUGGGACCACAAAUGUGGAAACGGCCAUGUGUCCUAACAGCUGCAGAGAAUCUCAGACUAUAACCUAUGAGCUGACAUGUAUCUGGGUAAUGAGGGUGCCCAUUGUGUGGAAUCUGUCCUGGGGAAGAGAAGCAAGACCCGUGGUGGAAUCCAGAUGGGCCCCAAUGAAGUGGAUUUUUUGGGUAGGUCAUAAGGUAGAUUUGUUUCUGUUUAUUUGCAGACCCAAAUGGCGUGGAAGCAGUGCACGGUGGCAGAAGUCACUCGGAUCACCUCCAACUGAGUGGGGCACUUGAGGAGACAAUUGUCUAGAUAAGGAAAAAUGAGGACUCCUUUCUUUCUGAGAUGUGCUAUUAUGACUGCUAGUACUUUUGAGAAGACACGUGGGGCAGUGGAAACGCCAAAGGGCAGGACCCUGUAUUGAUAAUGUUCCACUCCCAUGGCAAAUCUGAGAAAACGUUGAUGGGCAGGAUAGUGACAUGGAAAUAUGCGUCCUGGAGGUCGAGGGUUGAAAACCAAUCUCCCUGCUCCAGCGCCAGAAUUAUUGUUAGCAGAGUAACCAUCUGGAAUGUCUGUUUCUUGACUAACUUGUUUAGAUGUCAAAGAUAGAGGAUAGGGUGCCAUCCACCAUUUUUCUUUUCUGCCAAGUAGUGUGGGAGUAAAAGCCUUUCCCUCCAUGUUGAGCUGGUACCCGCUGUCUCACUCCUAAUUGUAUGAGGUGCUGUACCUCCUGAUGGAGCAAAUGUUCAUGGGAGGGUUCCCUGAAGAGAGAGAAGGUGGGAGGGUGGGUGCGGGGUAAGGAGAGGACAGGGAUGGCAUAACACGAUCUGAUAAUUUCCAGGACCCAUCUGUGCAUAGUGAUGGCUUCUCAAUUGGUAAGAAACAGGCGUAGAUGGUGUCCAAAGAAAUGGAUGGUUGAAAUUGGUGCUGAAGAGGGUGCGAGGCUUUCUAUACCCUCAACCAAGACUUCAAAUUUGUUUAUUUGAGGUAGGAGAGUGGAUCGCCAUCGUUUAUGGAAGGUGACGUCCUUGGGUUCUGGGUUUAUGGCAUUGUUGUUACUGCAUAUCAUAUUGUCUGAAAUGUUGAUUUUGCACAAAAGCAUGGUAGCACGGCCGUUAGUAUGGCUGAUAUCUGUACUGCCUCUUUUUUGGGCAGGUGGCUGGAUGCCUAAAUAUCUGAGUGUGGCAAGUGAGUCCUUCAUGGAAUGGAGGGCCUCAUUGGUCACAGAGGUGAAGAACUUGUCCCCAUCAAAGGGGAGAUCUUUGACAGUGCUCUGUAUCUUCUUGGGAAAGGAGGAAGAAGCAAGCCAUCAGGCAUGCCGCGUGAUGAUGGCCAUGGCUGUGGAUCUGGUGGCUGCAUCUGCAGCAUUGAGGGCAGCCUGAAGAGCUGUGCAGGAGAUUAAUUGGCCCUCAGACACCACUGCUUUGAAUUGUUGUUGUCUUCUGAUACAUCAUCAAUAAAUUGCAUUACUUCAGCAUAA
This is a long non-coding RNA of Dermochelys coriacea (leatherback sea turtle), 2262 nucleotides long. RefSeq lists it as uncharacterized. The record is from RefSeq and is a predicted model, not a curated record. The transcript is spliced from 2 exons. NCBI's taxonomy places the organism in Eukaryota, Metazoa, Chordata, Testudines, Dermochelyidae.